UGGCGGCUUGUCGCUCGUUAACAUCAUGGUUGCGAGAGGAAAGUCCGGGCAACACAGAGCAUCACAUUUCUUAACGGGAAGCUGGGGGUGACCUCAGGGUUAAGGUGACAGAAAACAACCGCCGCAACGCCACGCGUGACGAAGCGGUAAGGGUGAAAAGGCGGGGUAAGAGCCCACCGGGCACUGUGGCGACACAGUGUGCCGCACUACCUGUGAGUUGCAAGUUCAUGUAUACCGGCAUCUAAGGGCUGCUCGUCCAUUGUCGGGGGGUAGAACGCUAUACCGGCACAGCAAUGUGCAGGACAGAUAAAUGACAGGCACCUGCCAUCACGGCAGGCACAUAACCCGGCUUACAGCCAUACUG
Molecule: RNase P RNA, 364 nt
Filed under: bovine gut metagenome
Description: Bacterial RNase P class A
Rfam family: Bacterial RNase P class A
About the family: Ribonuclease P (RNase P) is a ubiquitous endoribonuclease, found in archaea, bacteria and eukarya as well as chloroplasts and mitochondria.
Source: RNAcentral